This 254-nucleotide ribosomal RNA is filed under the name uncultured bacterium. Its description in RNAcentral is "partial 16S ribosomal RNA". It matches the Rfam family "Bacterial small subunit ribosomal RNA", at positions 524 to 776 of the family's 1533-position model. The record is from RNAcentral.
UACGUAGGGUGCGAGCGUUGUCCGGAAUUAUUGGGCGUAAAGAGCUCGUAGGCGGUUUGUUGCGUCGGCUGUGAAAUCCCGAGGCUCAACCUCGGGUCUGCAGUCGAUACGAGCAAACUAGAGUGUUGCAGGGGAGACUGGAAUUCCUGGUGUAGCGGUGAAAUGCGCAGAUAUCAGGAGGAACACCGGUGGCGAAGGCGGGUCUCUGGGCAACAACUGACGCUGAGGAGCGAAAGCGUGGGGAGCGAAACAGG